GAUGAACGCUGGCGGCGUGCCUAAUACAUGCAAGUCGAGCGAACGGACGAGAAGCUUGCUUCUCUGAUGUUAGCGGCGGACGGGUGAGUAACACGUGGAUAACCUACCUAUAAGACUGGGAUAACUUCGGGAAACCGGAGCUAAUACCGGAUAAUAUUUUGAACCGCAUGGUUCAAAAGUGAAAGACGGUCUUGCUGUCACUUAUAGAUGGAUCCGCGCUGCAUUAGCUAGUUGGUAAGGUAACGGCUUACCAAGGCAACGAUGCAUAGCCGACCUGAGAGGGUGAUCGGCCACACUGGAACUGAGACACGGUCCAGACUCCUACGGGAGGCAGCAGUAGGGAAUCUUCCGCAAUGGGCGAAAGCCUGACGGAGCAACGCCGCGUGAGUGAUGAAGGUCUUCGGAUCGUAAAACUCUGUUAUUAGGGAAGAACAUAUGUGUAAGUAACUGUGCACAUCUUGACGGUACCUAAUCAGAAAGCCACGGCUAACUACGUGCCAGCAGCCGCGGUAAUACGUAGGUGGCAAGCGUUAUCCGGAAUUAUUGGGCGUAAAGCGCGCGUAGGCGGUUUUUUAAGUCUGAUGUGAAAGCCCACGGCUCAACCGUGGAGGGUCAUUGGAAACUGGAAAACUUGAGUGCAGAAGAGGAAAGUGGAAUUCCAUGUGUAGCGGUGAAAUGCGCAGAGAUAUGGAGGAACACCAGUGGCGAAGGCGACUUUCUGGUCUGUAACUGACGCUGAUGUGCGAAAGCGUGGGGAUCAAACAGGAUUAGAUACCCUGGUAGUCCACGCCGUAAACGAUGAGUGCUAAGUGUUAGGGGGUUUCCGCCCCUUAGUGCUGCAGCUAACGCAUUAAGCACUCCGCCUGGGGAGUACGACCGCAAGGUUGAAACUCAAAGGAAUUGACGGGGACCCGCACAAGCGGUGGAGCAUGUGGUUUAAUUCGAAGCAACGCGAAGAACCUUACCAAAUCUUGACAUCCUUUGACAACUCUAGAGAUAGAGCCUUCCCCUUCGGGGGACAAAGUGACAGGUGGUGCAUGGUUGUCGUCAGCUCGUGUCGUGAGAUGCUGGGUUAAGUCCCGCAACGAGCGCAACCCUUAAGCUUAGUUGCCAUCAUUAAGUUGGGCACUCUAAGUUGACUGCCGGUGACAAACCGGAGGAAGGUGGGGAUGACGUCAAAUCAUCAUGCCCCUUAUGAUUUGGGCUACACACGUGCUACAAUGGACAAUACAAAGGGCAGCGAAACCGCGAGGUCAAGCAAAUCCCAUAAAGUUGUUCUCAGUUCGGAUUGUAGUCUGCAACUCGACUACAUGAAGCUGGAAUCGCUAGUAAUCGUAGAUCAGCAUGCUACGGUGAAUACGUUCCCGGGUCA
RNAcentral lists this ribosomal RNA (1372 nucleotides) under uncultured bacterium. RNAcentral describes it as "bacterial SSU rRNA". It matches the Rfam family "Bacterial small subunit ribosomal RNA", at positions 28 to 1381 of the family's 1533-position model. The record is from RNAcentral.